UUAUCUGUAGCUAUCAUAAAUUAUAUGUAUUAAUAUUUGUAAAUAUUAAUUAUCUCAGUAUUGAAAAUAAAAUUAAAGAAUAAAACUAAAAGUAUAUUUUUUAAAAAAAAUAUCUAAAUCAAAUAACUAAAAUAAGUGGAUGAACCAAACACAGUAAUUCUGACAGGAUUGCCUGCCAAGAUAAUUCGAACCAAACGCAUCUAAACAUGCUACUCGUUUCAUUUAUUUUUAAUUGUGACGGUGAUUCUAUCUCUAUUCAUUCCCUUUGAAGAAAGGAAGGAUCCUAAAGAUAGAUUAAUACGGACUUUAAUAUUAAAAUUUAUAUAGAAAAAAGACCAAUAAUAUAUAAUUAUGGAAUAAUAUAAGCCCACUUAUUAUUUGUAGCUAUUGUUAAUUAUAUGUAUUAAUAUUUUUAAAUAUUAUUUAUCUCAAUAUUAAAAAAAAUUAAAGAAUAAAACUAAAAGUAUAUUUCUUUCUGAAAAUAUCUAAACCAAAUAAUUAAAAUAAGUGGAUGAACCAAACGCGGUAAUCCUGAUAGGAUUGCCUGUUAGGAUAACUCGAAUCAAACGCACCCUUAGAGAAAUAUAACAUGCUAUUCGCUUCGUUUAUUUUUAAAAAAAAUAAAUUUAGCUGAAAAUAUAAAUUAACUAGAAUUCGAACUUGGAAAAACAGACAGUCGAUUAAAAAAAUAUAUAAUUUAUUUAUCAUAAAUUUUGACCAGUAAACACAUAAAAGAAAAUGUAUGUGAGGGUGUUAUGGAGAAGUCUAUUAUAAAUUAUUUUCAAAAGUAAAAUUACGUUGAGAAUAAUUAUAAAUAAAAAUAAUAUUUUUUUAUUUAUAAACUAUUUAUGAUAAAUUUAUUUUUUAUAUUUUUUUUAUUAUAUACUUAGUUUUAUUGGAAUUUGGAAAAGAAUUUUUGAAU
This 922-nucleotide long non-coding RNA is filed under the name Ananas comosus (pineapple). Its description in RNAcentral is "long non-coding RNA (ACOM_LNC023817)". Lineage: Eukaryota; Viridiplantae; Streptophyta; Magnoliopsida; Poales; Bromeliaceae. The record is from RNAcentral.